Molecule: long non-coding RNA, 1643 nt
Organism: Phragmites australis (common reed)
Lineage: Eukaryota; Viridiplantae; Streptophyta; Magnoliopsida; Poales; Poaceae
Exons: 6
Source: RefSeq, a predicted model, not a curated record
CUCUCCUAUUUAAAAAAGCAGUAAUCCAUGUAUCGUCAGUUUUGUUCUGCCCACGACCUUCGUCCACUUGCUCGUUGUGUCGCCCGCCCGAUCCUUCCGCCCUCCCCCAUCGUCCGUCAGAUCCUUCCCGCUCGCGUGCUGCGACCUCCACGCCUGCCCUGCCCGCGACCUCCACGCUCCCACUGACCCCGCCCGCAACCUCCGCUCCCCUGCGACCUCCCUCUCUCCAGCCCCCAACAAAUCCAUCGCUCCAGUCUCCACCCCCCCCCCUCUCUCUCUCUGGCCGAUCGACGCCGCCAAAAGCCCCAAUGCCCGCGUGCUCUGCCCUGCGCGCCUAGCUGUCGACGCCGCGCCCACCUCAACUCCUCCCCACGCGUCGCCCCUCACCGCGCCGCCCCCACCGCCAAAGAAACACCUGAUCGAGUAGCGCGGCGACAGAUCUCGGCAUCGCGAGGUUGGCGGUGGGAGGAGCGACGUCGCGAGCGCGACGCGGACGAAGCGGCUGCCGGUGCCAGGUACCGCGAGGACGACGCCACUGCCGGGCUGGAAGAGGUUGGAUAUGAUUCUCGACAAGCUGCAGAAGAAGGAUACAUACGGAGUGUUUGCGGAGCCAAUGGAUCCGAAGGAGGUACAUUCUGAUGGUUUUGCUGAAAUCAUGCCUCGCACUGACAUUGAGUGGUCUCGUUGGAAUUUAUAUUGUUCAGAAGAUUUCAGGAACUAUCAUUUUGUUUUAAGCAUUUUGCUUACUCUGGUGCAUAAUUGUUCUAACUAUUCUUGAAAUCAACUAUGUCUCUUGGGAGCAUAAUCUGUUGACAAGUUGCAGAUUGAUAUGGCUACGUCGACUCACACAUGUUGGGCGGAGGAGAAGAAAUAAGCUGUAUGCCUGUAUCUCAAUCAAAUUACUCAAGAUGCCGUUAAGGAAACCUUGCACAUCUGCACCACAAUAGUUCCAAAGCCCUUGGUGAUAAAGACCGUUUGUAAAUUGUGAUCUUAUUCUAGCAUGAAUGAUAGGGGCAUGGUAUGCAGUUGAAGAUAAGAGUAAAAAAGACCGUAUUAUGCUCCUCUCAAUUGGUGAUAAAGAAUUAAAGACCGUUUGCAUGUCUCAAUUGCUACUCUCAAUUGCCAGCAGCACUUGGUUAUAAAGACCGUUUCAUAUUUACUUAUUCUUUAGCUUUCUUUUGCUUUUUCUUAAGCUAUUGAUUCUUCACCUUUCUUUUGCUUUUUCUUAAGCCAUUAAGCUAUAUCUUUGAUUUUUGGUGUAGUUCUUUUACAUUUUGCUCUUUGUUUGUCCGGGACUACUUUCUUGGACCUGUACCUGAAACAAAAUGUUAUCCUUUGAAAUUGGACGACUAUAGAUUGACCCAUCCAUUUAUUGGAUGUUGAAGUCAGCAUAUGUCUUGCAAAUAAUAGAGCUGCUUGGUCACAUUAUUAUUGGAGAUUUGGAGUGAAGAAACCAAAGGGGUAUACUAAAAGUGGCUUUCUUAUUUUUGAAAUGGAAUCGUGGCUAUACUUGAUGGAUGGUCGUGGCAGUGGCUGCCUGGUUGGCUGAUCAAAUGAUACUAGGUUUGAAAAAUGUCUAAUUAAGACUUUGGAGGGAGUUGUGGAGAUGGGUUUUGAUAUUUUGUUGAAGAAAUAAUGUUUUC